UAGCGUAGGGGGCAAGCGUUUGUCCGGAUUUAUUGGGCGUAAAGAGCGUGUAGGCGGUUUGGUAGGUCCGUUGUGAAAACUCGAGGCUCAACCUCGAGACGCCGAUGGAAACCAUCAGACUAGAGUCCGGAAGAGGAGAGGUGGAAUUCCUGGUGUAGCGGUGAAAUGCGCAGAUAUCAGGAGGAACACCGGUGGCGAAGGCGGGUCUCUGGGCAGUAACUGACGCUGAGGAGCGAAAGCGUGGGGAGCGAACAGG
This 256-nucleotide ribosomal RNA is filed under the name uncultured bacterium. Its description in RNAcentral is "partial 16S ribosomal RNA". It matches the Rfam family "Bacterial small subunit ribosomal RNA", at positions 523 to 776 of the family's 1533-position model. The record is from RNAcentral.